This 347-nucleotide ribosomal RNA is filed under the name uncultured bacterium. RNAcentral describes it as "partial 16S ribosomal RNA". It matches the Rfam family "Bacterial small subunit ribosomal RNA", at positions 338 to 682 of the family's 1533-position model. The record is from RNAcentral.
CCUACGGGAGGCUGCAGUGAGGAAUAUUGGUCAAUGGGCGCGAGCCUGAACCAGCCAAGUAGCGUGAAGGAUGACUGCCCUACGGGUUGUAAACUUCUUUUAUAAAGGAAUAAAGUGAGGCACGUGUGCCAUUUUGUAUGUACUGUAUGAAUAAGGAUCGGCUAACUCCGUGCCAGCAGCCGCGGUAAUACGGAGGAUCCGAGCGUUAUCCGGAUUUAUUGGGGUUACAGGGAGCGUAGAGGGGUUGUUAAGUCAGUUGUGAAAGUUUGCGGCUCAACCGUAAAAUUGCAAUUGAUACUGGCAGCCUUGAGUACAGUUUAGGUAGGCGUAAUUCGUUGUGUCGCGGU